RNAcentral lists this ribosomal RNA (406 nucleotides) under uncultured bacterium. RNAcentral's name for it is "partial 16S ribosomal RNA". It matches the Rfam family "Bacterial small subunit ribosomal RNA", at positions 29 to 526 of the family's 1533-position model. The record is from RNAcentral.
AUUGAACGCUGGCGGCAGGCCUAACACAUGCAAGUCGAGCGAGCGGCGGACGGGUGAGUAAUGUCUGGGGACCUGCCCGAUAGAGGGGGAUAACUACUGGAAACGGUGGCUAAUACCGCAUACUAUCGGAUGUACCCAUAUGGGAUUAGCUAGUGGGUGGGGUAAAGGCUCACCUAGGCGACGAUCCCUAGCUGGUCUGAGAGGAUGACCAGCCGCACGUGAACGGGAACAAGGACCAGGCUCCUACGGGAGGGAGCAGGGGGGAAUAUUGGACAAUGGGCGCAAGCCUGGUGCAGCCAGUGCGGGGGUAUGAAGGAGGCCUUAGGGUUGUAAAGUACGUUUAGGGGGGAGGCGUUACCGGCAGAAGAAGCACCGGCUAACUCCGUGCCAGCAGCCGCGGUAAUAC